Molecule: ribosomal RNA, 345 nt
Filed under: uncultured bacterium
Lineage: Bacteria
Description: bacterial SSU rRNA
Rfam family: Bacterial small subunit ribosomal RNA
Source: RNAcentral
AGAGUUUGAUCAUGGCUCAGGAUGAACGCUAGCUACAGGCUUAACACAUGCAAGUCGAGGGGCAGCAUGUUGGUUGCUUGCAACCAACGAUGGCGACCGGCGCACGGGUGAGUAACGCGUAUCCAACCUACCCUUGUCCAUCGGGUAACCCGUCGAAAGGCGGCCUAACACGAUAUGCGGUUCACAGCAGGCAUCUAACGUGAACGAAAUGUGAAGGAGAAGGAUGGGGAUGCGUCUGAUUAGCUUGUUGGCGGGGUAACGCCACAAGGCUACGAUCAGUAGGGGUUCUGAGAGGAAGGUCCCCCANAUUGGAACUGAGACACGGUCCAAACUCCUACGGGAGCA